CAGCCGUAAACUAUGCGCGUUAGGUGUAUCGGUGACCACGAGUUACCGAGGUGCCGAAGGGAAACCGUGAAACGUGCCGCCUGGGAAGUACGGUCGCAAGGCUGAAACUUAAAGGAAUUGGCGGGGGAGCACCACAACAGGUGGAGCCCGCGGUUUAAUUGGACUCAACGCCGGGAAGCUCACCGGAUAGGACAGCAGAAUGAUUGCCGGGCUGAAGACCCUGCAUGACUAGCUGAGAGGAGGUGCAUGGCGUAGACGUCU
RNAcentral lists this ribosomal RNA (261 nucleotides) under uncultured archaeon. RNAcentral describes it as "partial 16S ribosomal RNA". It matches the Rfam family "Archaeal small subunit ribosomal RNA", at positions 748 to 1009 of the family's 1478-position model. The record is from RNAcentral.